Molecule: transfer RNA, 83 nt
Filed under: Candidatus Moraniibacteriota bacterium
Lineage: Bacteria; Candidatus Moraniibacteriota
Description: tRNA-Leu
Rfam family: tRNA
About the family: Transfer RNA (tRNA) molecules are approximately 80 nucleotides in length. Their secondary structure includes four short double-helical elements and three loops (D, anti-codon, and T loops). Further hydrogen bonds mediate the characteristic L-shaped molecular structure. tRNAs have two regions of fundamental functional importance: the anti-codon, which is responsible for specific mRNA codon recognition, and the 3' end, to which the tRNAs corresponding amino acid is attached (by aminoacyl-tRNA synthetases). tRNAs cope with the degeneracy of the genetic code in two manners: having more than one tRNA (with a specific anti-codon) for a particular amino acid; and 'wobble' base-pairing, i.e. permitting non-standard base-pairing at the 3rd anti-codon position.
Source: RNAcentral
GCCCAGGUGGCGGAACGGUAUACGCGCUAGCUUGAGGUGCUAGUUCCCGCAAGGGAUUGGAGGUUCAAAUCCUCUCUUGGGCA